Erinaceus europaeus (western European hedgehog) is the source of this 2294-nucleotide long non-coding RNA. RefSeq lists it as uncharacterized. The record is from RefSeq and is a predicted model, not a curated record. Lineage: Eukaryota; Metazoa; Chordata; Mammalia; Eulipotyphla; Erinaceidae. The transcript has 3 exons.
GAACUGGAGGCCUGAACCUGAGUCCUUACACGUUUUACAUGAGCGUUCAGCCAAGUGCACCACCACCAGGCCCCGACAGACGGUGUUCAGUGAAUAAAGAGGCAGCUGGCUGACUGACCUGCCCCAGCCCUGAGACUCAAAGGCAUCAUGACAGAUGUCAGUAUUCUGUAGGAGACACACCGGAUGUGAGCUGGCAAGAUAACUCUAGAAACGGAAUGCUGACCUGUGGAGAGCUACCGGUGUGUACCAGGAACCAGGGACCCGGCAGCCUGUGGGGCCAUCACUUCUCUACGCAGCCGUCCUGCCUUGAGGGUGAAGCUGGGGAGACACAGGAGCCCUUCCGGAACUUUCUCAGAGCGCCUGGCUUCUCAUGAUCUCAUUCGGGGGAAAAAGAAACUUGGCUUUCUCCACCCCCGGCUUCCUCCUCCGGCAGGAGUUUGAGAAGCACAGCAGAGCAGUGGCAAGAGGUUCUCAGGGUUCAGCAGAAACAACCACCUGCCUUGGACCAGGGAGUUCCAGAAAACAAGCAGGCUGGCCUUUCUGGAAAAGGAAGAUUCUUCUGGAAGUCAGGACUUAGCAUGACCUCUCUGAGAGACAACCAGCUUUGCUGUUCCCCAGAUUGGGGGGUGGGGGUGGGGUGCUGCCUGCUAGUCUGUGCAUAGGAUAUGGUGUGAAGAACGGCCCAGCACCGAGUGUAAGAAGGCAUCGCUAGGAGCCUUGCUCAAAAGGAAAAACAAGGGCUGGAAGUGAGCUUAAACAACACAGUCUUUCUGGGCUUGGGAGACGGCACAGCAGAAGUACACACAGGCCCUGCAUGUGAGGGGCCCCAGGUUCAAUCCCCGGCACCUGCAGUAGCCAGAGCUGAGCAAUGAUCUGGUCUAAAUCAAUCAAUCAAUCAAUCAGUCAAUCAAUCAAUCAUUCUUUCAUUAGUGAGAAACAUGUUUGAAGGAAAUCUUUAGUUUUUUUUACUUAUUUCAUUAAAAAAUUUUUUUUUAUCUUUAUUUAAUUUCCCUUUUGUUGCCCUUAUUGUUUUAUUGUUGUUGUAGUUAUUAUUGUUGUUGUAGUUAUUAUUGUUGUUGUUAUUGAUGUUGCUGUUGGACAGGACAGAGAGAAAUUAAGAGAGGAGGGGAAGACAGAGGGUGGAGAGAAAGACAGACACCUGCAGACCUGCUUCACUGCCUGUGAAGCGACUCCCCUGCAGCCGGGGGCUCGAACCGGGAUCCUUAGCCAGUUCUUGUGCUUCACGCCACAUGCACUUAACCCACUGAGCUACUGUCCGACUCCCUUACUUAUUUCAUUUUAAUGAGGGAAAGAUACAUAGAUGUAUAGAUAGACAGACAGACAGAUAGAUAGUUCAGCAUCACAGUCGUGCUCGACUCUGGUUGAUGGUGGUGCUAAGGAUUGAACUGGGGACCUCAGAGCCUUAGGCAUGAAGGUCUUUUGCAGAACCAUUAUGCUAACUCCCCAGCCCAGGAAACUGUUUUUGUGAACCACACUUGGGGGUAGGAAGGUAUCAUUUAUGCCAGAACAGAGACUAUAUUACAGAGGGAGAGGGCAGUUUAAGAUGAGCCAGAGACUUUUCUUUGCCAGGGCAGAGGACAACUGUAGCUCUGAUCACUAUUUGGGACCCAUUUUUGGCUGGUCAAAAGAAAAGUGGAUUGGGUGUGGUCAAAGAAAAGUGGAUUGGGUGUGGUCCUCCUUUCUCUGCCUCGAAGAGUCAUCUUCAACUUUUAUUUUUUUUUAAUCAUAGGACAUUGUCAUUGACUUACUUUGCUGACAGUGACCUGAGUGAAUGGUGAGGACAAGAGGACUGCCUUUAAGAUUUAUUUAUUUAUUUUUAUUGGUGAUUUAAUGUUGAUGUACAAAAGUACAACAUAACAGGUACAACUCCACACUAUUCCUACCACCAGAUUUCUGUGUCCCCACUCCCUCCACUGUAAGUUAUAGCAGUUCUCUCAAGGCUGCAGAUAUGAGUCAACUGUUAUUUCUACAACCAUAAAAUUUUAUUUAUUUGUUUAAUUUUAUUUUGCCUCCAGUGUUAUCUCUGGGGCUUGGUGCUGGCACUACAAAUCCACUGUCUGGUGAUCAUAUUUUCCAUUAAAAUUUUUUAUUAUCUUUAUUUAUUUAUUGUAUAGAGACAGCCAGAAAUUGAGAGGGAAGGGGGUGAUAGAGAGGGAGGGAGAGAGAGACACCUGCAGCCCUGUUUCACCACUUGUAAAGCUUUCCCCUUGCAGGUGGGGACCACAGGCUCAAACCUGGAUCCCUGUGCACUGUAACAUGAGCACUCUACCGGG